RNAcentral lists this ribosomal RNA (774 nucleotides) under uncultured bacterium. RNAcentral describes it as "bacterial SSU rRNA". It matches the Rfam family "Bacterial small subunit ribosomal RNA", at positions 8 to 796 of the family's 1533-position model. The record is from RNAcentral.
AGAGUUUGAUCCUGGCUCAGGACGAACGCUGGCGGCGUUAACACAUGCAAGUCGAACGGGGCUCACCGCUUCGGUGGUGGGUUCAGUGGCGAACGGGUGAGUAACACGUGGGCAACCUGCCCCCGGCUCUGGGAUAACUCCAAGAAAUUGGGGCUAAUACCGGAUGUGACCGCUGGCCGCAUGGUCUGGUGGUGGAAAGGGUUUCCGGCUGGGGAUGGGCCCGCGGCCUAUCAGCUUGUUGGUGGGGUAGUGGCCUACCAAGGCGACGACGGGUAGCCGGCCUGAGAGGGUGACCGGCCACACUGGGACUGAGACACGGCCCAGACUCCUACGGGAGGCAGCAGUGGGGAAUAUUGCGCAAUGGGCGGAAGCCUGACGCAGCGACGCCCGCGUGGGGGAUGACGGCCUUCGGGUUGUAAACCUCUUUCAGCAGGGACGAAGCGGAAGUGACGGUACCUGCAGAAGAAGCACCGGCCAACUACGUGCCAGCAGCCGCGGUAAUACGUAGGGUGCAAGCGUUGUCCGGAAUUAUUGGGCGUAAAGAGCUCGUAGGCGGUUUGUCGCGUCGGCUGUGAAAUCCCGGAGCUCAACUCCGGGUCUGCAGUCGAUACGGGCAGACUUGAGUGUUGCAGGGGAGACUGGAAUUCCUGGUGUAGCGGUGAAAUGCGCAGAUAUCAGGAGGAACACCGGUGGCGAAGGCGGGUCUCUGGGCAACAACUGACGCUGAGGAGCGAAAGCGUGGGGAGCGAACAGGAUUAGAUACCCUAGUAGUCC